Notechis scutatus (mainland tiger snake) is the source of this 145-nucleotide non-coding RNA. The record is from RefSeq and is a predicted model, not a curated record. NCBI's taxonomy places the organism in Eukaryota, Metazoa, Chordata, Lepidosauria, Squamata, Elapidae.
GCAUAGUCAAAUGAAUAAGCAGUGUGGUGGCCUAUUGAUGAAGAUGCUCGCCUCCCAAUCAGAAGGUUGAGAGUUCAAUCCUAGGUAGCUGCAGAUGUUUCUCUCCCAGGUCACAAAGAAAAUAAAUCUGCUGUGAACUUUGCAU